CCCGAAGAACCGAUUUAAAAUUCAUGCAACCCAGAUGAGCUCACGAGACCAGCACCGCCAGAGGCGCUAGUGUAUUUAACUCACAUUUUGGUAAAUAUAUUUGAAAGUGUUUGCUCUACGUCAAGGCCUGUUGCUGAUUUGAGCUUCUAUUAUUUGUUGGAUUUUGACGAUUUGCGUCGGAAAUACAAGAGCUCUACUUCAACACCGGAACAAGCCAUUUUACCAGUGCAGUGCGCACAUAUUUCUAAAGCAAGUGUCGUCAUUAACCAGUACCAACAACAUCGCGUCCCGUGGACUACCAUGUGAAAGUAUUCACUCGCAGCAAGACAGUCAUCUAAGCAUCGAAAAAUGUGUGACCAAAAGUAGCAGCAAGGCUGGCAAAAAUGCCAAUCCAAACAGAAGUGCAAACCAUAGAGAUAACCCGGAAAACUCGCCGGAUAACGAAGCACCACUGCCAAAGUUUCAUCGAUCAGGUUAGUUAAGAUGGCAUCGGCCACCGCACUCGAGCCAUACUACAGUUCCGAAAUAUGCUGGAAAUAGUACUGAUCUCCGAUUCGACAACGGACAAACGUGAACAGGAAACUUUCCUUGCCGAAAAUCACAUGAGUUGACCCACAAGCAUCCGAUGGCUCGGAACCAAUGUUGAGCGUCAAUGUGUCACCAGCAAGGGGCUAUCCUAAGUCGAAACUCACACAUUCAAUUUUCGGUCGCCUGAUGUGACUCCAUACAGCGUUCAAGGAUGCAAAGUAAAAUGACUAAUGGCACAUUAGUAACUUGACAGCACAGGCCAUUCUUCAGGGUGCACCGGAUGUUACCAGUAUACACAUCUACUCCUGCGAAUGGUGGUACCGGUAGAUUAUACGACUGGCGGUCACAUUUAGAUGGUCGAUGUGAUGCGCAACAUCUAUGCUUUGGCCAUCAACCUGUACGGAAGUCAGAUGGUCAUUGUAGAGAACCAGGAUGGAAGUGCAGAAAUCGGUUGUGCGAAUUUACAGCGUUGGCCAGAAGAAGAACACCGAAGAUGACGCAGAGGAGAAAAAAGAAGAGAUGGAGAACUCGGAGUAUUGAUCGAUUUAUUUAAAUGCAGCAUUUCCCAACCUGGAUUAGAACAACUUUAUUAAAUGCUAUUAUUUCGGAAGAAAAGGCUCAAGGAAGAAAACAGUAAUUCAUUUAUGCUAUCAAAUAAUAUUUUAUAGAACUCUAACAUGUCGGAUGUCGGUACUUGAACAAAUUAGAUAAAAUAAAUAAGCAAAGGCCAAUUUAGCCAAAUAAGACAAACGUUCUAUCUAGUUUUUAUUUAUCUCUAAUUAAUUAAAUUUAGAUUGAACUUAACUUCCCUUUAAUUUAAAUUGAUAUUAUUCAAAUAAAUUUACAUCACAAUUUAAUUCAAAUGUAAUUUCAUUUAAAUUCGAUACGAAUUUUAUACCAAUUUAUUUCUAUUCUAACAUCAUUUAAAUUUAAUUCAUAUUCAGUAUAUAAGUUUAGUUUAUUAUUUUUCCCUAUUUAAUUUCAAUGAAUUAUUGGCAGUGGCUGCUUUUCUACCCGCCGCUGCUACAUCCAGGCGCUAUAGUAUAUGCGCAAAAUAGCCAGCAUGAGUUAACCGCCAGAAAUUUGUAUGGCGAAAGACAUCUAACGCGGGUUUUCUCAAAAUUAGGAACUUUUCAUGAAAAACUAUUUGGUACCGGUUAUGAAGGAUGGUGUCCGCUACUACGCCUACCAAAUAUUUUUCGAUUAAGGUUCUUUUUUUCGAAAUAUUAAACAUUAGAUGCCUUUCGCCAUACUGAUUUCCAAAAGUUAACUCCUAGUGUGCCGCUGUAAGCACGCUCAAAGCAGGCGAUUCAUUGAGUUUUAAUUUACUUCAGUUCAAUUUUAAUUUCGAUUAUCUCUGGGCAUAAAAGUAUCAUGAUAUAUACAACUGCAAAAAUGGUUACAUGACCUUGAAUCCUCGCAGUUCAUAACUGUGAAAGCUCCUUGAUGAACAAAGCUACGAGGCGGCAAUGUCUCAGUGAGGGAUGUUAUGCUAAUAAUGAAGAAGAAAAUGCUAAAUGAGAACUUCAAUCUUAUUAAUUAUAUUUAUCAUUCAGUUCAGUUCAAAUUCAAUCCCAAUUGUAAUAUCAAUUAAAUCUUAAUUAAAUUUAGACCUACAUUUUUAUAUUUUCAUUAGUCACAUUAAAUUUAUUUUUUGAAUAAGUUUCUGGAGACCCUACCAGUUAUCCUUGCGAGAAAAACGUAGGAUUGCCAAUCUGGAGAUGGCAAGUUCGAUUCUCGGUCCAGUCUAGGAUGUUUUCGGAUGGAAAAGAUUAUCGACUCUCUGGGCAUAGUGUAUCCAUUGUACUUGCCAUAUAACAUACAUACUCAUGCAAAGGCGGGUAUAGAAAGCUUUUAAUUAAUAACUGAGGAAACGUUAAUAGAAUACUUCCGUAUACUACGUUGAAAAGCAGGCCAGAAGCAUUGUUAAUUUGGUUCAAAACCAAAUUAGUUUUCAUCUAGUUUUAUUUAUUAUAAUUUACCUUCAAUUUUAUUUUAAGUCAAUUUGAAUUUAUUUUCAAAGUUUAAUUGAAAUUCAAUUUGAAAAAAUCCUAAUAUGAAAUAAAUUCCAAAUUACUUUGAAUUCUUCUUCUUAUUGGCAUUACAUCCCCACACUGGGACAGAGCCGCCUUGCAGCUUAGUGUUCAUUAAGCACUUCCACAGCAAACUGCGAGGUUUCUAAGCCAGGUUACCAUUUUUGGAUCCGUAAUUCAUGAGGCUAGCACGAUGAUACUUUUAUGCCCAGGGAAGUCUUGUUAUUCUUGUUCUUCUUGUUAUACUCAACGUAUCCCCGGGCCGUGGCCAAUCUACGUUGUAUGACACUAGGCAAUACGUUUACACUGCUGGCUUAAAUUUUCAACGUGACGAUUAAUAUAUAGAACUCAUGAAAUCAAUGUGAACUCGACUCGUGGAAAACUUAUUCCAGGUUAUCCGAGGCUUGUGAUAGACCCUUUAUCACAACGGACCUUUCCAUCCACUGACUGGUAGGCUCGAGCGUCCCGUCCUCUGCUUCAGACCCAUAAGGGGUCCGAAACAGUUCAGUUUCAGGGUAGUAAACUUGCGAGAGAAUAAAAGAUAGAGGAGGAGAAUGUGGAGCGGCUUGUUAACCGCUUCUGGCUCUAGCGACUGCUAUGGAACCUAUUUAUUAAAGAAUUGUUUGUAGAGAUAGAAACGGUUUUGUUUAUGUACAUGAUAGUUGUUCAGACAGUUCGGGAUCGCAACGAUAGAGUUCGUUAUAGCUUAGAAACUUUUCAGAUGAUUUAUACUUAUGGUAGAAGGGAAAUGAUUGAAAUCCGUUUUCUGAUGAUUGUCGAAAAAGCUAUAUGUAGAUUGAUAUGAUAUAGGUAUUUAAAAUAUCACGUAAGAAAGGUCAAAAAAGCACUUUAGGUGAAUAGAUCGCAUUUUUUCUAUCAUUUUGCAUGUUUUUGCAUUAAUUACUAUGCAUUGCCAACAUUUUUGAAGAAAAAACUAUGAUUUUGAAUUAUUAAGAAAAAUAUUUUGAGCUAAAAAACUCGAGUCGAGUCAAGUACGAGACACUGCAGACGACCUUACUGUUGAGGUCGAAAUACGUGUCUUGUAUGUAUGUAACUUGACCUACAAUCAAGUGGUGGAAUUAAAUGGGAUGGUACAAACUAGAAAUACUACAAUAAGAGAUCGGCGAAGACGCCAUCUUGUUUCCAAUCGAACCGUCAAAAGCGGUUCCAAUUCGACUUGUUUACUUUUUGCAUCCAUAAGAAGCAGGCAAAAAGUUCAAGUGAUGCCGGUAUUAUUUUCACGAUUUCAUGCAUUUUCAUACGUUGCCAUUUCGACAGUUUUUCACUCCGCCGGUCUCUGGUUAUAGGGUGGCUAGUACAAACUAGAGGCCUGAAUAAGAGAAACGCGGAUAGAAAAUAUGACUCUGCCAACACUGCAUUCAAUCUUCUUCAUCAAAGAGCAACACAUGAAAAGGAAGAAAUGGUUUAUGAAGAUAAAAUCUCACAAUCCGCUAUUUAACCCGUUUCGGUCUGACC
This is a long non-coding RNA of Armigeres subalbatus, 4037 nucleotides long. RefSeq lists it as uncharacterized. The transcript has 3 exons. Lineage: Eukaryota; Metazoa; Arthropoda; Insecta; Diptera; Culicidae. The record is from RefSeq and is a predicted model, not a curated record.